AGUAACCAACACAGUCAUGAGAUAACAAGAAGGGUGGGGUCAGACAAUAGACAGGAGAGCACAUGGCACCAACAAACAAUAAGCCAUGUG
Molecule: long non-coding RNA, 90 nt
Organism: Sinocyclocheilus grahami
Lineage: Eukaryota; Metazoa; Chordata; Actinopteri; Cypriniformes; Cyprinidae
Exons: 3
Source: RefSeq, a predicted model, not a curated record